Molecule: ribosomal RNA, 253 nt
Filed under: uncultured prokaryote
Description: partial 16S ribosomal RNA
Rfam family: Bacterial small subunit ribosomal RNA
Source: RNAcentral
ACGAACCGUGCAAACGUUAUCCGGAAUCACUGGGCAUAAAGGGCGCGUAGGCGGCUUUCUAAGUCAGGGGUGAAAUCCGGCAGCUCAACUGUCGCAGUGCCUUUGAUACUGGAGAGCUCGAGGGAGGUAGGGGUCUGUGGAACUUCCGGUGGAGCGGUGAAAUGCGUUGAUAUCGGAAGGAACGCCGGUGGCGAAAGCGACGGACUGGAUCUCUUCUGACGCUGAGGCGCGAAAGCCAGGGGAGCAAACGGGA